UAAAAUUCACGUGUUGAAGGCCCAAGCCUCAGUGUGACCGUAUUUGGAGAUGGGCCCUUUAAGGAGGUGGUCAAGGUUAACUGAGGUCAUAAGGGUGGGGCCCUGAUCCAGUAGGACUGGCAUCCUUAUGAGAAGAGGGAGAGAGAAGACCAUGUGAGGACACAGUGGGAAGGCCGCUGUCUGCAAGCCAGGCAGGGAGCUCUCCCCGGAAACGGAACCUGCUGGCACCGUGAUCUUGGCCUCCAGCCUCCAGCACCCCGAGAGAUGAGUGCUAUGAAACUGCUGCCGGGAACAAGAGAGCAGACUCAUAUGGAGAUGCAGAGGAAGCCUUUCUCGCUGGUCACCUGGGCUCGGGGUUUCCUGCUAGUUUCAAACGGCUGGGAGUAGCGAAAUCUAUGGUUGCGUUUUACCAUCUCCUCCCAAACUCUCCCUGAGGAUUGUUGAAAUGCAGCCCAGAGCUGAUCAUUCUCCGGGACCCUUCUGGUGGGGAAAGAGGAGGCAGCGCACGACAGCAGUGAAAAGCCAGGGGGAUGGACGACCCGAGCCUCUGGGUCACCCCUGUCUGGGAGCCUUCAGGGAACAGGAGUCGAGAGGGACAUGCCAUACAAGAGACGGAGACUGAGGCUCUGGGAGGUGAGGCGACCUGUGCAAGAUCACACAACUCGUCAACACAUCAAAAGGCCACUUCAGUCAACACAGUCAGGAUUCUGACGACCUCCGGCUUUACGUGAUUCAUAUGGAUGGGAUUUUUUUUUUAAUAUGUCGAAGAUUUCUACCAAGUUUGGGCUAAUUCUUCUCCACUUCACUUCGUAACAACAUUCAAGCUACGCUGCACUUGUCUCUGUCCAGCUCCCUACUGCUUCAGCCAGAGGAAACUGAGUCCGAGAGAGACGAUGGAGGGGAGAGCCAGCGCAGCACAGGCUGGGCUGCCCACCCCCUAGAAGGCUAAUCGAGAUGGUAUUUUCUGCUGGAAGCAAGUAAGCAAGUUUCCCACAAACCAAGCCAGCUUCUCCCAGAAGACAGGCGUUCUCGCCGGCUCUGUGCGCUGUCUCAAAGAUCUCGGUCUGCACAAUGGGCGACACUGAGGUGAAGAGACCUAUGCCUCUGAAGCUGGGGGCGUUGGCUUGUAAACCUCCUGGAUCCUGCCUCUGGGGAGAAAAGAGAAUCAACCCAGGAUAUCCUCUGCCCACCUGUGGGGCUCUGCCACCCCACAGGAGGGUUGUGGGUGGGGACCCUCUCAGACGGAGCCUGAUCGGGGCAAAAACUGGAAACAGCCAGAAGUCCUUCAAAGAGUGAACAGUAAACACGCCGGCCUGGGCCUGCCGUGGAACACGUGCCGCAACAAAGAACAAACUCUUGACCCGAGAGACAACCCGGGCUGCUUCAGAGAACGACGCUGAGUGCAAAAAGCCAAUCCCAAAAGCUGCCACACUGUUUGAGCUCACUUACAGGACUCUCCCAUGAUGACAGAAGUAUGGAGAUGGACAACAGACCAGUGGUUGCCAGAGGGUGGCGGGCACAGUGGGAGGGAGGUGGGUGUGGCCACAGGAGAACAGCUGGAGGGAUCCCUGACACGUGGGGACUGUCCAGGGUCUUGACUGUGGCGGUGGAUCCGCAAACCGACAUGGGUGAUAAAGUGCAGAGAACACCAGGGAAUGAGUACAAAUGACACCAGGGACAUCUGAGGGAGAUGGGUGGGUCUCCCUCCCAGGAUCUCUCUGGCUUAUUUCUUAGAACUGCAGGUGAAUCUACAACUAUCUCAAAAUAAAAGAUUUCAC
This is a long non-coding RNA of Equus caballus (horse), 1778 nucleotides long. The record is from Ensembl. Lineage: Eukaryota; Metazoa; Chordata; Mammalia; Perissodactyla; Equidae.